This is a long non-coding RNA of Mustela erminea (ermine), 81 nucleotides long. RefSeq lists it as uncharacterized. Lineage: Eukaryota; Metazoa; Chordata; Mammalia; Carnivora; Mustelidae. The record is from RefSeq and is a predicted model, not a curated record. The transcript is spliced from 3 exons.
AGAAAGAUUAUAUUUAUUUAUUUGACAGAGAGAGCCCACGAGGGCAGGAACACAAAUGGGGAAUGUGAGAGGAAGAAGCAG